Molecule: ribosomal RNA, 1005 nt
Filed under: uncultured bacterium
Lineage: Bacteria
Description: partial 16S ribosomal RNA
Rfam family: Bacterial small subunit ribosomal RNA
Source: RNAcentral
AGGAAUUUUCGUCAAUGGGCGCAAGCCUGAACGAGCAACGCCGCGUGGUGGAUGACGGCUUUUGGGUUGUAAACACCUUUUAGGGGGGACGAUAAUGACGGUACCCCCGGAAUAAGCCCCGGCUAACUCUGUGCCAGCAGCCGCGGUAAUACAGAGGGGGCAAGCGUUGUCCGGAGUUACUGGGCGUAAAGCGUACGCAGGCGGUUUGGUAAGUGGAGUGUGAAAGUGGCGGGCUCAACCCGCCGAGGCCAUUGCAUACUGCCAAACUCGAGCCCGACAGAGGCCAGUCGAAUUGCCGGUGUAGUGGUGAAAUGCGUAGAGAUCGGCAGGAAGACCAAGGGAGAAAUCAGCUGGCUGGGUCGGCGCUGACGCUCGUGUACGAAAGCGUGKGGAGCGAACCGGAUUAGAUACCCGGGUAGUCCACGCCGUAAACGAUGGAUACUCGGCAUUUGCUUGCAAUCCGCGAGUGGGUGCCCAAGCUCACGCGAUAAAGUAUCCCGCCUGGGAAGUACGAGCGCAAGCUUAAAACUCAAAGGAAUUUGACGGGGGCCCGCACAAGCAGCGGAGCGUGUGGUUUAAUUCGAAGCAACGCGCAGCACCUCACCCAGGUUUGACAUGCAGAUGCAUGAGGCGGAAACGUCUCAGCCUUCGAGGGUUCUGCACAGAUGCUGCAUGGCUGUCGUCAGCUCGUGUCGUGAGAUGUUGGGUUAAGUCCCGCAACGAGCGCAACCCCCGUGGCUAGUUACACGUGUCUAGCCAGACUGCCCUCCGGGGAGGAAGGCGGGGAUGACGUCAAGUCCGCAUGGCUCUUACACCUGGGGCUACACACACGCUACAAUGACGCCGACAAUGCGUUGCGACCGGGCAACCGGCAGCUAAUCGUGAACCGGCGUCCCAGUGCAGAUUGGGGGCUGCAACUCGCCCCCAUGAAGGUGGAGUUGCUAGUAACCGCGUAUCAGCUACGGCGCGGUGAAUACGUACCCGGGCCUUGUACACACCGCCCGU